CGUAGGUUGGCUCUUUAGGGCUUCACCCCGAAGCUCCACCUUCGCUCCCGUCUUUCUGGAAACACCGCUUUGAUCUCGGCGGUGCGGGACAGGUACCUCCCGGCUGCUGCGGGUGCCCUGGAUCCAGUCGGCUGCACCAGGCGAGCGAGACCCUUCCCUGGUGGAGGCUCAGAGUUCCGGCAGGGUGCAUCCGGCCUGUGUGUGGCGCGAGGCAGGGAAGCCGGUACCCGGGUCCUGGCCCCAGCGCUGACGUUUUCUCUCCCCUUUCUUCUCUCUUCGCGGUUGCGGCGUCGCAGACGCUAGUGUGAGCCCCCAUGGCAGAUACGACCCCGAACGGCCCCCAAGGGGCGGGCGCUGUGCAAUUCAUGAUGACCAAUAAACUGGACACGGCAAUGUGGCUUUCUCGCUUGUUCACAGUUUACUGCUCUGCUCUGUUUGUUCUGCCUCUUCUUGGGUUGCAUGAAGCAGCAAGCUUUUACCAACGUGCUUUGCUGGCAAAUGCUCUUACCAGUGCUCUGAGGCUGCAUCAAAGAUUACCACACUUCCAGUUAAGCAGAGCAUUCCUGGCCCAGGCUUUGUUAGAGGACAGCUGCCACUACCUGUUGUAUUCACUCAUCUUUGUAAAUUCCUAUCCAGUUACAAUGAGUAUCUUCCCAGUCUUGUUAUUCUCUUUGCUUCAUGCUGCCACAUAUACGAAAAAGGUCCUUGACGUAAGGGCUCAAAUAGUUUACCUCUGCUGAGAUCUGUCUUGGACAAAUUAAGUGCUAAUCAACAAAAUAUUCUGAAAUUCAUUGCUUGCAAUGAAAUAUUCCUGAUGCCUGCGACAGUUUUUAUGCUUUUUAGUGGUCAAGGAAGUUUGCUCCAACCUUUUAUAUACUAUAGAUUUCUUACCCUUCGAUAUUCGUCUCGAAGAAACCCAUAUUGUCGGACCUUAUUUAAUGAACUGAGGAUUGUUGUUGAACACAUAAUAAUGAAACCUGCUUGCCCACUGUUUGUGAGAAGACUUUGUCUCCAGAGCAUUGCCUUUAUAAGCAGAUUGGCACCAACAGUUCCAUAGUUUAACAUCUAGUUAAGCUACAAAUAUAGUAUAAGCAUUAUUAGCAGCUGGUACUUCUGCUAGGGGUUGUAAAUUCCAGGUGUUACACUGACCUCAAUCCAAUUUACAUAAUUUACAUAAAUGCAUCUCGGUGGAAAAAUAAUCAUUUUCUUGGCAUGUUAAAUCAAGCUUAAAAAGUUUUGAGAAAAUUUUACUGCGCUGUGUUGCUAAUGGUUAAAGAAGUCUGUAUCUAGUGAUAAAUAUACCAGUUUUUUUAAAAAGAUGCUGUUGUGCCUAUAUCAUGAAGUACAUUAAUUUCUCAUGUAAAAAAAAUAGCUCUAAAAUUUGUUUCAACCUAAUUGGUAACCUGAGUUUAUAUCUGGCAUGAAUUCAUUAUGGUGAUACACAUAUGUGAAUUCAGUACAUUUUGAGACAGUAUUCUACCAUUCAGUAAUUUUGGUUAAUGAUUUUAACACUUCUCAGUGUAUUUAAUUUCAAAUUGUUUUUUUAAUUGGUUUUAUGCUGCUUUGUUAGGACAGAUGUGUUUUGAAUGUACCAUUAUAAGAAGAAUUCUAUGUAUCUUAAACUAUGAUCUUCUAAAAUUUUAUUUCCGUAAGUACUUCUGUGGCCUUGAGUAUUUUUUAAAAGGCUCAACUGUAAGCCUCUUAGCCAGUUGGAUAAAUAUUUGGGGUCACCUAGCCAUUGAAAGCAGAAAGCAGUAGUGACACAGCUUUCCCUUCAAAGAGCCAUUGAGAAACAUUUCUCAAACAGGAAAUCCUUCUUUUACUAAUGUGGACAUAUAGAUUAUUCGUAUUAUAGUUUGUAGAACUACCUAGUUCAGAAUCUUGACUGCCAGUUUUCUUGGUUUCUUAGGCUUGAAUUUUCAUAGACAAUUGCAACAGUUUAGAUGCCUUUUGAAAGGAAUGUAAUGAAGAUUCAGCAUCUGACUAUAUGUGUGUCUAUCCUGAAAUAAUAAUGGAGAGUAUACUGUAGAUUACAUGUUUACCCAUCAAAUCUGACUUAAAAGGUUAAAUGGAAGGUUUUAUAGGUAAGGUAAUUGAUUGGGAAUGGGGUAGGGGGAGGAGUUGUGGGGGAAUAAUGUGCAUUUCAGUCUCAACGCAUAGAUAAAUUUAGGGGAAUUGGAUGUAUUAUUCAACUUUGAUUUGGGUUGUAAAAUGUGUUAAAUCCUGUUCAUUGAACUCCCAUCAACUCUUAUAAAAUUCAUGCUGAUCUUCAUUACCGUUGCAUGAUUGGAAAUGUUUAAAACAUUGUACAGUUUUAGUAUAGAGAAAUGUAAUGGUUUUUGUGACCAGUUUCUGUCUGCAUGUAAUUUGGAUUUCUCAA
Molecule: long non-coding RNA, 2380 nt
Filed under: Homo sapiens (human)
Lineage: Eukaryota; Metazoa; Chordata; Mammalia; Primates; Hominidae
Description: long non-coding RNA NONHSAT198534.1
Source: RNAcentral